This is a non-coding RNA of Phascolarctos cinereus (koala), 2371 nucleotides long. NCBI's taxonomy places the organism in Eukaryota, Metazoa, Chordata, Mammalia, Diprotodontia, Phascolarctidae. The record is from RefSeq and is a predicted model, not a curated record.
GGCCAGAUUUGAACUCAGAGAAGUCUUUCUGACUGGCAUUCUAUCCGUUGUGCCACCUACCUGCCCAAUCAUUCAUAUAAGACACAUCUACUGAGCACUAAAUUCAAUUACAAAACCAAGUGCUGGUCUCAUUGCUUCAGUCUUUGUGUUGUAACAGUCUGUGAAAUAGUUGAUCUUGAGCUGAUACGGACAACCCAGAAAAUUACUCAAGAUGGUUUGCAAAACAGCUUUAUAAGUUGGAAUCAAAGAAGAAUAGUGGGGAAAAAACAGCAGGAGUUACAGACUCCUGGACCAAGCUGAUUGAGGAUAUAUGCAUCUAACACUGCCUCUCUCCCCUCUUCUUAUAUUCUGAAAUGAAAACAACCUAUUUUCCAUUUAAUUUCUCUCCCAUCAGGAUGCUGUGACUUUCAGAAACCUUUCUUCUCCUAUCAGAAAAUAAUUGGUGAAGGAUUAGUGAGGGAACUCAGCAAAACAGGGUUGACAAUUGAGCAAAGUAUUGAAUGAAGACCACAGUAAAACAUUAAAGAAGAGAGGUCAUGAGUGGCUUCUUCUGACAAAGAAGCAAAUACAGCUAAAAAUGAGAAGGUUACAUCACUGCUGCUGAAAGACACACACACACACACACACACACACACACACACACACACACAUACACACAGAGAAUUGUGAGGUAAUAUAUAGCUGUUCUCUGGUCUAUUCCAUGCAAAAAGGUUUUACAUUUUUCUCAGAUGGGAAGGGAGGGGCAUGGGGAAGGAAGCACAGUGUCUUUAAAUAAGCAGUUUGUACCAAAUACUUUUUUUCUUUUUUGGCAAAGGAAUUUUGGCAAAAUGCACAAUUUGCUCUUUUUUUUUUUUUUAGUCCACUUUAAGAUGAAUCAAGGUCAGGAGCAAGGAGUUGACUGCGGGGAUGAUACAUGAUUUACAAGAUAGCUGUCACAGCACCUCCUGAUCGGAAAAAGAAGCAAUCCCUGGAAUUGCAAUGUUUAGGAGGACAACAUCAUAGAGGCUAUUGCAUCAAACUGUUCAUAUACAGAAGAAGUAUCAUCCUGCAACUUAGAAGUUGGACCCCACUAACAUAGAGCAAGGAUCUUCAACGACUUCUGGUUUAGGACUAUGACUCUAUAGAUUUGAUGAUGAUUAUCAUCAAUUCAUAACAGGAGAAACUGGAGAAGUGGUUAUAUGUGUAGCCAGACGACAAUACAAACAUAAUAUGGAUGAAAUAUGUGCCAUACAUCUAAUUGCAUGCUCAUUGAUUAGUUAUUAUAUUGUUGGAUGUUUCCAUUUUAUCACUUCGCUGAUAAUUGUGUAUUUGCUUAUGUCCUCAUACCAUGCAUUAUGGUAGCUACAACUAUUAGCUACUCCAUCGACCACUGUGUAUUAUGAUGCUUCUCUAACUCAGAAGACAGUCUUCAAGAACUGCUGUGGCCAAUGAAUAUCAUCACUCCUUGGCCAACCUAGUAAUAAACCUCUCCACAUUAGCAAGUCUGGAUCUUGAAUAACAUAAAGCUCAUUACUAGGCCCAAACUCAAAGCCUUUCUAUCCCAAUAUAAGCUGCUGGAAUUAUUCUUGACUGACAUAGCCUUUGAGAAUGCAGGGUCAUUUCCAUGUAAUGUGAGAGUAACAGUGCUGAGGACAGCAGUGCUGUUAGAGGCAACAUUAAUACAGGGAAAGUAUAUGGCUACUCAUAAGGCUAAAUUAGUUUCAUGUGUAGUGAGAGACUGACUUUUUUUGCAGAGCCUACAAGAGCAACUGUUAAAACUCCCAUGCAAUUUGUUGAAUGAUUAACUCAUUCAUUCAUUUAUUCAACAAAUAUUUGCUGUAUGGCUAUUAAGUUCACAGCACUGUGGGGGACAGAAAUGUAAAUGAAGGGUAAGUUCCCACCUCAAAGAGUUUACAAUGUAGCAGAGACAAUAAGACAGUACCAUAAAGUGAUUCAGAAUGUGUUAAGAGUUAAAAAAGAGUUAUAACUAAAUUGCUCUAAUGGUUCAGGUGAAGGAGCUAUCAUAUCUGAUUAAGACAGAUUAGGAAAGGAUACAUGGGAAAGUAUAGUUCAUGAAAAAGGGACCAGACUUGUAGCUUACACCGAAGGCUAGUACUUUGAAAAUUAGUAGUAGAAACAAGCAGGCUUCACAAGUGAAAUUCAACUACAGACCAUAUCUUUCCCACCUAAUAGUUAAGUGAAAGACUGGAGAAUAUAAGGCCUCCCCACAAAAGGCAUCUGAUAUGGUGGAACAAAAUGUUGUGUUUCACAACAAGGAAUCUCCCAUCAGAAUCAUUCAAGAUUCCUCGAAGAAAAGCAGCAGAAAGAACUCUGUUCAAUAAUGAACAUCAGAAAACACAUGAGACAGGAAGACUGUAUGCUCAUCAAAGGU